RNAcentral lists this non-coding RNA (93 nucleotides) under Ascoidea rubescens. RNAcentral's name for it is "TPP sequence". It matches the Rfam family "TPP riboswitch aptamer (THI element)". Rfam says of the family: Vitamin B(1) in its active form thiamin pyrophosphate (TPP) is an essential coenzyme that is synthesised by coupling of pyrimidine and thiazole moieties in bacteria. The previously detected thiamin-regulatory element, thi box was extended, resulting in a new, highly conserved RNA secondary structure, the THI element, which is widely distributed in eubacteria and also occurs in some archaea. RNAcentral also lists the same sequence under 1 other name. Lineage: Eukaryota; Fungi; Ascomycota; Saccharomycetes; Ascoideales; Ascoideaceae. The record is from RNAcentral.
UGUACGCAUGACCGGUGCCAUUUUAUGGCUGAGAUUAUACGGUUGAACUUGAUCUAGUUAAUACUAGCGCAAAGAACAUGCUAUCAUCGAUAU